This is a long non-coding RNA of Parus major (Great Tit), 269 nucleotides long. RefSeq lists it as uncharacterized. The record is from RefSeq and is a predicted model, not a curated record. The transcript has 2 exons. NCBI's taxonomy places the organism in Eukaryota, Metazoa, Chordata, Aves, Passeriformes, Paridae.
CCAGCCGUUUUUAUGGAAAUGGGCAGUUGGGUAAAGGAGGAAAACCCAGUCUGGCGGUUUCAGAGAAAAAGACUAACACCAGCUCAAUCCUGUGAAUCAGACAUAGAGGCUUGACAAAUGAAAACUGUGCUCUUCAGCUGGCUCUGCUGGGCGUGCAACCUGAGAGACUUUCUUGGCACUGGAGAGUGAACAAGCCUGGUGUGUGAUACAAGGACCAUGCAAAGAGGAUGAGGAAAUAAUCACACGUAUCACAUUGAACAGCCAUCCAA